GCACACAAUGAGGAGCAAGGGAAUGAUGUGGUCAGACCAAGAACAGACGGUAUGGCCACAGCAGUUACAGGGGAGAGUUCUUCUUUGCCACAUCGGAGGGUCGCUCUGUGGAUGACUGGUUGAAAGAGAAGAGACGACUGGAUCCGAAAUACCAGCAGCCGCGCAGGUGAAGGACAAUACACAACAAUGCACGUGACUCCUUUUAAUCUUUUUUCUAAUUGCAGGACACACCAACUUGACGUGCAGCAUAGUGUCACUUGUAUAUAGUUUGUGUAAUUUUGCUUGUAUAUAUUUUGUGUGUAUUUUGAAGUAUUUUGUUACAAAUUUGUAAUGUACAUAGUUUAAUUUUACUGUUGACAAUGUUCUCAAGCUAAUUCAAUUGAUGUUUUUGUUACAUAAAAAAUCUUUUCAAAGGAUCAGUUCAGUGUUGACAUCUUUUCUUUGUAAUUACAUAAUGUAUAAUUUAUAAAUCUGAUGUGAACCAGGUUAAUGAUGAGGAUCGAACAUGAUCGUAUUGAUCCAUCAUGCCACAUCUAGUGAGAGAGUAGAACAUUUGGUCAGAUCUGUGUGUCCCUCACUGACAGCUGUGUGACAGCUGUCAGACACUCGCCCAAUCACCAGCUCCCGAUCACUUCACCUUGACACUCGCCCAAUCACCAGCUCCCGAUCACUUCACCUUUAUUCCAGGGAGACGAUCGUUCAGGGUAAAAGGCCCAUCUCCUGCCGACGGCCCCAGGUGGUCUAGGCGGCUCACAAUACACAUUGUAUAUCCUGUAGGUGUGACUCUGUGGGGGGCAGGUAGGAGCCCCAUAAAGGCUGCCUGGAUGAGGCUGUUGGUCUCGUCAAGGUCUAGUCUCAGGCUGCAACAACUUUGGGGAAGUCCACAAAAAAGAAAUGGAAAACUUUGGAAGAACAGCACCUUUGAUAAAACACAUAGAGAGAAAAAGGAGCCAGGAGUAUACAGAAGGUUUGUAUUUUUUUACUGCACUCAAUAUUAACUUGUAUUUUUCAUUACAUUACAGCAAUUCAUCCUCCUCACCCGCCACAAGCACUGCCAACAUUGCUCUUCCAGAGGCUGCCACCACCGCUGCCGCCGCCAACGCCACCGCCGCUGCCGCCGCUGCCGCCGCAGCUUCACUACAAGAACAUGCUGCAACCACUGAUUCACCAAAGGGUGCUGGGGCCGCAGCCGCCGCCGCCGCCGCGGCUGCCGCCGCUGCAUCAGCUGCCUCGGCAGCCGCCACCGCUGCUGCCGCCGCUGCAUCAGCUGCCUCGGCAGCCGCCACCGCUGCUGCCGCCGCUGCAUCAGCUGCCUCGGCAGCCGCCACCGCUGCUGCCGCCGCUGCAUCAGCUGCCUCAGCUCCCUUGGCUGCCGCCACCGCCGCUGCAUCAGCUGCCUCAGCUGCCUCAGCUGCCUCAGCUCCCUCGGCUGCCGCCACCGCCGCUGCAUCAGCUCCCUCGGCUCCCUCGGCUCCCUCGGCUGCCUCGGCUGCCACCACCGCCGCUGCAUCAGCUCCCUCGGCUCCCUCGGCUGCCUCGGCUGCCACCACCGCCGCUGCCUCGGCUGCCUCGGCUCCCUCGGCUGCCUCAGCUGCUGCCGCCACCGCUGCUUCCUGUACCCGCCACAGUGGUCCAUCACGGAUGACUGUAUGGAGAAGAAAGAAGGCAAAACAGGAGGAUGCAGAAGCCUUAAAAAAGGAGGAAGGGCGCCAACAACAGCCCCAAGAGGAGCCCCAAGAGGAGCCCCAAGAAGAGCGCCAAAACCAAUGCCGACAUUGUGGACUUCCCAGGACCCUGUUGAAGGGGCAUGCCUUUUACAAAGGGCAUUUCUACUGCACACACACUGCAGGGCCUGGGGCAAAGUCUGCCAAUGAGUGGCUGAAGGAGCAGGAAGAAAAGGAAUCACCAAAAAUUCCCAGGACAACUGCCUUCACCAUGAAGAAAAAGUGGGAGAAUGAGCAUAGUUUCAAACCUCCAGAAAACAAAAGGAAGCGGAAUAAACUUAGAAUCUGCCAGCUGUGUGGCCUGCCAAAGCAGAAAGAUUAUGGCCACAGCCAGCACCAGUCUGAACACUUUUGUGCUCUUUACGCUGGCAAAUCUGUAGAGUUGUGGCUGGCAGAGAGGAGGUGUAUGGAGUGACCCACCACAAUAUCACUUGUGUCAUUAUGUUGUGUGUGUGUGUAAUAAAAAUAUGUUACCUCUAAGUUUUUUUGGUAAU
This 2218-nucleotide long non-coding RNA is filed under the name Betta splendens (Siamese fighting fish). Its description in RNAcentral is "lncRNA (ENSBSLG00000023093.1)". The record is from RNAcentral. Lineage: Eukaryota; Metazoa; Chordata; Actinopteri; Anabantiformes; Osphronemidae.